RNAcentral lists this ribosomal RNA (253 nucleotides) under uncultured bacterium. RNAcentral's name for it is "partial 16S ribosomal RNA". It matches the Rfam family "Bacterial small subunit ribosomal RNA", at positions 524 to 776 of the family's 1533-position model. The record is from RNAcentral.
UACGUAGGGUCCGAGCGUUGUCCGGAAUUAUUGGGCGUAAAGGGCUCGUAGGCGGUCUGUUGCGUCGGGAGUGAAAAUUCACAGCUUAACUGUGAACUUGCUUCCGAUACGGGCAGACUUGAGGUAUUCAGGGGAGAACGGAAUUCCUGGUGUAGCGGUGAAAUGCGCAGAUAUCAGGAGGAACACCGGCGGUGUAGACGGCUUGCUAGACCACCCCUGACGCUGAGGCACGAAAGCGUGGGUAGCAAACAGG